Long non-coding RNA from Apis cerana (Asiatic honeybee), 13657 nucleotides. RefSeq lists it as uncharacterized. Lineage: Eukaryota; Metazoa; Arthropoda; Insecta; Hymenoptera; Apidae. The record is from RefSeq and is a predicted model, not a curated record.
AUGAAAUUGAAGGAAUAAAUAUUUUUAAUUAAAUAAUUAAAAAAUUUUUUUUCCAUUACAAUCGAUCAAGUAGAUUAAAAUUUUCUUGAGCCAAUCAAGAAGCUAUCUACUUGAUAAUUAAGAAUUAAAUUAUUGCAUACGCCCAAUUCAUUCACAAAUCAUUCAAAACUAUUAUUGUUUUAUUAUAAAGAAGAAAUUACGCAUGUAGGAAUUAUAGGUUUCUUGAAUUUCUCGUUUUUUACUUGAAAAUCUAAAAAAAAAAACUUUAUUGCAUCAUAUUGCAUUAUAUUAUAUAUCGUCGCUUAUAUCCUUCGCUAUCACAAAUAGAUUUAAAUCGAUCGGUUUCUGUGCAAAUGUCGAAAGUAAUACGUAGAGAUAAUUCAAGAACAAUUUCCAGGAUAAUAUCAUUGUACGGAUUGAUGGACGCUGUACGGAUUAGGUAGAGCCUCGACUUUUACCUUUGAUAAUGAGAUUUGCGGCUCCAAGUCAACUUCCUCUCGGAUUACGAUCGCUACUGCACGGUAGUCUACAAUACUUUCUACCUUCUCUCCUUCCCUUUGAAUUAAAGUUUUUCUCCCCGAAUUGCCAACGAUCUCACAGCGACAAUCUGAAAGAAAACGUCGCCUUAACGAGAACAUUUCGGAGACAAUCUUUCCUCCUUCCUUCCUUCCUUCCUUCCUUCCUUUCUUAAACCAUCCAUCAACCCGGGGACAAAGCAUCGAUGUCAUUGUUAGCGUGUUGUAACGAGACGAUCCGUGAUGGAUACCGUUCUAAUGAAUUCGAUAAUUAGGACGAUAAUUAGAGGGACCUUUCUUCCACAGGACGACAGCCGAAAAGUCGAGUUCAAUUAGAAACGACCGUGUCACGUGACGUGAGGGAAAGUACAGGAGAUUUCGAGGAAUCGAGAAGAAGAGGUGGAGAACAAGUGCCGUUUCCUGUGUAUGGUGAUCGAAUAAGCCGAUCCUUCGUUUUACCGAGAAAAGGAAAGCCAUCGAUUAUUUUGUGUAUAUAUAUACACGUGUAUAUGUAUACGUAUGGAUACACUUCUUUCUUUCGUGCACUUUUGAAUUGUUGAUCCAAAUUUCGUUCCGGGUGAAAGGACGUAGAUAUAAAGUUUCGGGUGAAAAAAAAUUGUGAAAGGAUAAUCCGCCUCGGUGAUGAUGAAUAAUUGAUUAGGGACUUUUCGAGAAGUAAGAAGUAUUGCAUUGCUAAUCGUAGAAAUCUAAUUGAUUCUUUAAAGGAAUUCUUUGAGAUUCGUUACGAAGAGGAUGUUUACUUUUUAUUUCUUAAGUCACGGAAGAGGGUUGUCAAAGGGAUGGUUUUCACUCGCAAAAAAUAUUUCAUUUUAGAGGCACUGGAAGAAGUUGCGAGAAAUCUCCAUUUUCCAAUAUCUACUCCAAUACUUUUUAUAUCUUGUAUGCUUAAACUUGAUAUUCUAGACUUGUCUAUACUACAUUCUUUUGAACUUGUCGAACAGAACGGGACAACUUCAUUCAUCUUCUCUAAGAACCUUAGAUCUCCAUUCGAUACUAAACUUUUAAAUGGUUAUAAUAAAUUACACAAUUUCGAUCUUAAAGAUCUUUCUCCAAUUUUUAAAUCUCCACUUUUCGGAAAGUAAAUUUAAUUAAUUUCGAUAAAUAGUUUGCGUUGAAUUAAAAGUUUGUUUCGAAUCACUUGCUAUCAAGUAAUACGAGUCAAUUCUUCGUUUCUAAAUUUCUACUUUCAUAAUGCAUACUGUUUGCCAAUCAUUAUCUUCCACGUUGAUAGCGAUUCCUUUUACAAUACCAGUGCCAUUAUGAAAAGGGUGCGGUCACAUUAAAACGAAAUAGGAAACGUAUCUGUAGUGUAGCGUAGCAGUUCGAUUCUACAGUAGUGGAACUGCUUGCAUAGUAGGAAUAGUAUAUUAGUGAAAGUCGUUGAAUGGUAAGAAAAAUGUGUUGAUCUAUUUACAUUUUAUCGGUUUUAGUGCACAAAUACGCGUGAUGUUACGUAACGAGGAACACGAUAUGUUAAUGCUGUCAUCUACAUACGUAUAUAUAUAUAUAUAUAUGUAUGUUUGAAAAUAAUGCGCAUAUAAAUAUUGUAAAUGCUGGAACGCUACGCCUGUAUCGUAAAUGUCCAGGCUAAUGAUGCCGAAGGAAUUAUAAAAUGACGGAAUAUAAAACAGAGUGGACCGUUUCAACUCAGUCGCGACUUUAAACGUAAUUUAAAUGCUGUCAAUCCUUAUACCUGUAAUUCUCAUUAUUAUUCAAUUUCUUAGUAACAAGUCGACAUCAAAUAUGCGAUGUAACGAUGAUUUCUUUGAAUUAUUUGAACAUUUUUAUAUUUCGAGGGAAUAAUUUUAAAUAAAGCAAAUAUUCGAGAAUUAAAGAAAAAAGACGAAACUUUUUAUUCAUGUGUAACGAUAUAUAGGUAUAUCAGCGUCUGGAAAAAUUGGCAGGUAUUGAAAUAAUAAUAAGGAUCGAUAUGGGCGUAAGUAAGAAUUUUUAUAACUUAAUUCGCGCUUAUUUUCCUUCCUUUCCCGUAUUUUAAUAUCAAUAAGUAGUUAAACUAGUUUAUAUAAAUAUAUACGUCUCAAUAAAAUUCAGAUAGCCUUAUUUCAUAAAUUAAUUUUCUCUUACUUUUCUUCAUUUCAAUCGUUUUAUAUUUUCAUAUUCUAUAGUAAUAAACAUCUAAGCUUAAUUAUAUUCAUGCUUGCAUCUAUGUCACGUUUAAUUACGUUGCAAUAAUAAUCUUAUAAAUUAAUUUACUUUCCUUUUUUUAUCGUGCCUUUUAUAAAUCGGAUUAUCGAUUAGGAUUCUACUAUUCAAUAAAUAAAUGGCCGUUUCGCGAAAUACAUUUGAAAUCAUUCGUGAUACCACAUCCGUGGUAUAAAUGUCACGCGUUAAGUUAGACGCGUGACGCGAAGAUUUCCCUUUGCGACAUAAAUCACGGGAAGGAAACUGUUUGGUCGCGUUCUAGAACUCGAAUAAGGCGAACGAGAUGAAAGUUUUACUCUUGGUUAGCGAUGAAAAAUAACAAGAAGCAACUCGCGUAGCUUAAUUAAUCUUUCAGGGGCAACUUACUUGUCUGAAAAGAGGUUUUUCAAUGGGAAUAACGGAAAUAUUCCUUUUAAUUUUACAGAUUCAUUCUUCUGAUCUAACCAUCAUCAGGAGAAAUAAAAUCGUACAAGGAUUAUCAAGAUUUUCAUUCUUUUUUUUUUUCGAUGAAGAUUCUAUGGAUGAAAUAUUUCAUCCUAAUUUUAUUAUAUUUUCAUAUCGAUCGUAUUAAAAUUUUUUCAAAGCAAUACUUCCUUCGAUUCGAUAAUUUUUCUUCUUUCUCGAUUAGGAAAGAAGCGAAAUCGUAAAAUAUUUACCACGUUUGUUUUUCCAUCUUUCGUAUUACUGACCGAUUUCUAUAAGAGGUCGUUUUACAUAAACGAGUAUUUAUUUUUAGCUCAUUCCACUGUCUUAACCAGUCUCGUCGACUUUUCAUGUUGCCGAUAAGCCGCCUUUGCCUGUAACAGUUUCGCCUACGUAUCUCGACGAGUAGAGCCGUGCGACUUCCGUGUAUGACGACUACGUCUUUGUGGUCUAUUGUCCGACUCUCGAAGUCUUUCCAUUUUUCCUGCUGGAAUGGAAGUCCACCGGUUAAGAAAAUACCUACGCGGAGAACGUGCAAAUAUAAAGAUAAUAUUUUUAUGUCACGCAGUGGAGGAACUAACUUUGCAGCCUUUUUGCCGUUAUUCCUUUUAAUGUUACAAAUGUUGCACGGGAGAUGUAAUAGGAUUAUGAUAAUAUUGCUGGUUAAGAUUAAGCGCGGUAAAAGUUAUAUUUUUUCCAAGUAAAACUCGAAUCGAUAUAACGAGAAACGCAGGUUCCAUUUUACGUAAAAGAUAGAGAAAAUAUUGAAAUUUAAUUAUGCAACAAAUUUACAAUGCAAUCAACCGUUGGAAGUAUUAUUUAUGAGAAAAGAAAUUUAUAAGGGAAUAUGAUAAAACUCAGUUUAAUUGACUUCUAAUAACUACGAACAUAUAGUCAAUUAAAGGAACCGAAUCGUGCGUCUCAUAAAUCAAAUGAGUAUUAUUGAUGUUCAUAUAAAGAGAGGAUUUUAAUUAUUAAAUAUCAACUCAUAGGAAACGAGGAGAAGGAUAUGCAGAGAAAAUGCAAUAAAUAUGGAAAAAAAUAAAUUUCACGUGUAUAUACCAUUCAAUUUAGAUUUUCAAAUGGGAAACAUAAAAUAAAAUAUAAAAUAUAAAAAUAAAAUAAAAUAUAAAUAUACAUCCACGAUUAUAUUUGAUUUCUUCGACUCAAUAAUAAAAAUGUUUUUGUUUCGAAUUGUAACAUUGAAAAAAGACACUUGAUCAACUUUUAUUGAUCCAUCUCACGUGAUUACUAAAAGAAUCUUAAUUAAUUACGCAUAUAAAACGUAUCGAAGAAUGUACGUAUUAUUUGCAAUCAAAAUUGCAUAUCGCUUCGUGUCUCAUAAUUUUCGUCAAAUUAUAAACUUCCCUUAUCUCCACGAAAUAUUAUUCCAAUAAUUGGAAUUGUUAAUUAUCCAACAAGACAAAACGGUCGAAAUUGGAUCAAAAUUAUCUGCAUUCUUUGCACACGAUAAUUUAUUAUGCGCAUUUCAAGUAAUUGGAUCCCACUAAUUCACCGUUAAAAAUAUUUUAUCACUUUAGAAAGGAAUCGUAUAUCGAAUAUAUCAAUAUAUAAAUUCUGUCCGUGCUUUUUAGCUUCUUAACCCAUUGGGUGUGAGAUCAAAGAAAACCGUGAUCGUACUGCAUCGAUCCGAGCAGAGUUGGGUUCGCGGCUCUUUUUAUUCCGAGUUGCACAGCUUUCCCUUUCUUUCCCCUGAGAAAUUUAGCAAUAAUUAUGUCGCUUAACCGUUACUCCAGUCUCCGUUACGCUACGUCGUUACGAUACUAAACGAUCGAAGAAAUUGGCGUGUGUAUCUGUUUCGCGUAAUUAUUUCUAAAAAAAAUGAUCGUUUCUCGAACGGAACGAUAAUACACAACGCACCAAUGUGUUUAUUCGUUUCUCCGUAUGAUGGAUCGAUUGUGCGAAACGAGAGGAAUUGAAAGGAAGAUUGAAUCCGAUUACAUGAAAAAUCAUUAAUUAUACAUUGUCGAGUAAGUAGAUUUAAACUUCGCUUAUUAAUAUUUAACGGCCGAUAUAUCGAUCAUUUAUCUCGUUGAACUUGUCCCCCCCGUGCUUCGGACAGACUUUCUCGAUCUAUAUAUCAACUCUCUUGAAAAAGGGGAGAGAAAAGAAGGAAACGGAUGGAAAGGAAAAGGCGAGAAAAAUUCAAGCAUGAAUUAUGACAAACGGUGUGUAUUGAUAGCGGAGUGAAUGUUGGAAGCUUUCCUUUUGAAUUAACGCCGGUUUCUCGUGAGUGAAUGAUGCUCGAAGGUCUCUGACAAGGAGAGUGCACGACCUCUUCUCGAGUCUUGUGUUGUGGAUUCGAUUGAGAUUGAAACAAGUUCGUUUCAACCGCUUCAAUACUCUUCUCUUCGAGAUAAGAAGUGUUAAGUAUUUUCAAAUUUUAUGUUUCGAUAAAAUUGUGAAAAAUUCAUAUUCUUUCUGAUGUCUCUCCAUGAUUACUCGUUAAAAGGAAAGUUAUAUAAAAUAUUCAACAACUUUUACAUAUUUUAUCAAAAAUGCAUACGAGAAUGCGUGGUGAGAAGCGCGACUUCCCGUCAAUAAAUCUAAGAGUGACACGUACAUCGAAUCGAGCGCCAGACAAAACAAACGUGUCCAUUCCAGACUAUAGACGUCGAUAGAAUAACGAUGGAAUAACCACUGUCGUUUCUACUGCCGUAUUCCGGCAGCGUGUCACCGGAAGACACGCAUAAAAAUGUUAGAUCGGACGUGGUCCGGGACGAACGCGAAAAACAAAACCGACUUUCAUAUGAUAAUAAGAAUUCUCUAAUAAAUAACAGACACACACACGCCUCCAAUUUACGUUUAACUUUCACGCUGAAACUUUUCGUUCUUUUUUUCUUUCUUCUUCUUCUUUUUGAAAGAAGAAGUUCAAGCGCGCUAAGAAAUCUUGAUUCGAAGUUGUGGAGUUAUUUCGUUGGUUGCUGGAUCAAGAGGUUAUCUCGCUUGGAAAUUCGUUUCGAGUCGUCAUGAUACGGGGAUCGUUCGUUAAAAGGAAGCUGUGAGUAAAUUACGUACGCGUUUUCCACGUGGAAACGAGUUUCGACUUGGAAUAAGAAAGUUUUAAACGAUUUUAGACAGAAAUUGCUUCUCUUUCUGUCUAAACAAGGUCGCAAAUAAUUCUUGCUUUUUAUCGCGAGCAUGUUCGUUCGCUCUUUAAUUCGAAAUCGGUUUGCAGGAAGAAAAAGUUUGGAGAGAAAGAAGUUUAGAGAGAAGUUUUUUUUUUUUAGAGAGGAAUAUGAAAGCGAAGUAAAAUUUUAUGAUAGAUGGUUGCGACAUUUUUAAUUCAUAGGUAUGAUCGUUUUAUCUUAUUUUGAUUAUUUCCUUUUUUUUUAGAGUGAACGUGAAAUUUUAAUAAAUAAUUGACUCGAUGUUCAACGAUUUUGUUUUUUCACGUUGAUCACGUUCGAAAAUUAAUGGUUAUAUAGACACUGAUAGGGAAUUAAUGAUCAUUGACUUUUUUCAGGAAUCAAACAUUCAGGUUCCGCGAAAAAUUUGUAAAAAAUCUUAUACCGAUGAAAUCAUUUGAAACGAAAUAUCGUUCGAAAAACGAAACGUUGCACGAUCUACUAACUUGCGUAAUAUUUGCAUAAUAUUCGUUUUUUCAAAUGUUUCUAAAAUUUGAAAAAAACGCAAAGCAUAGACUGGUUAUAUUUAUUAUUGAGCAACCGCGUAAUUACGGAUUUUCUAAAUGAUUCGUCGCAAGAAAUGAAAAAUGAGAUCGAAUUCUUAGAGUUUCAAAAAGUUUGGUAAAUACACAAGUUCGCUACACUCGUCUAAAGGGAUUUUUUUUCUAAAAUUUUGCAUUUUAUUUAUCAAAAAUAUUUAAAAAUAAACCACAAGAUCGAUAUCGAUUUAUUAUUAAUUAAAUAUUUUCUUUCUUUUUUUUAGGAUCCAAAGGAUCGAUGUCGAAUUUUUGUUGAAUCUCAAGUGGAACAGGUCAACGUUAUUCGCGUGCAUCCAUUCUCGUUACGUCAUCGGAGAGACGAGAGAAGCAGGAUAUUUGCGCUCGUGUUUCAAUUGACGCGACGAGGGCGGAAUUUACAGCUCAUCAGGGAAAUAAAAACGAACGAUACUUGAUUUCAUCGCUGCCCGUGUUUCCGCUGUUAAUCAUAAUGCACAGAUUGGCGCAUCGGCGUUAAAUUGCGAGAAACCAACGAAGCUUAAUACGCUUCUUUUCUAUGUGAAUUACGAGGAUGCCUUGAAAAACAUCCGACUCGUCGAGUUCAACUCCUAUGAUUAACAUUGUUGAAACUUUGCUCGUAAACGGGUCGAGACAUCUGCGAGAAAGUCCGGAAUUCAAUGUUCUCGUUCGAAUCUCGGGAAAAAAUUGAUGAGGUUUUCACUUUCCUUUCUUGGAAAAAAAGAUUGUUCAAAACUCGAAAUUGUAUCGAUUGUAAAAUCAUUAUUUGUCUCUCAUCGUUAUAAUAAGUCAUUCUUUUUAAUCGCCUUGGAAUUUUUCAACUUUUUAUCAUCAGAAUCUCUAUACCAAUCUGAUUCUUUAUUAUAAAAUAUAUAGUUGCAAUUUGAAUUUUAAAGCGAAUGAAGAUUGUUAAAUGAGCGUGAUAUGUACGAAAGUUGGGCAGACAAUUAUUCAACUAGAAUUUUUUUUUUUUCUUCUUUCCCCAUCCAUAUAAACGUUAUUACUAUCCUAUUUACCAGACCGUGAAUCCAGUUUCUACAACUAUAUUAAUCAUUUUCUGAAAUGUUGAUAUUUUCACGAUUAUCAAAUUAAUCAAAAUGUUCUGUAACGAUGUUUAAUUUAACAAUAUUUUAACGAAAAUUAUUCUCUUGAGAUAUUUUCGAACGAAAGGAUCGAUUUAUAAGAAAAAAGAAAGGAAAAUCUAGCGACAAAAUUGUUUCAAAAGCUUAAAUAAUAAAUCGAUAUUUUAAACCGCAAUAUCGUUCACCGUGAAAGAAUGAAAGAAGAAAAAUUCCAACGUUUAAUUGAUUCGAUAUUAUUACGAUAUCGCGCGCAUAUUAAAGCGAUAUUUUUUUUUUUUUUUUUUAUUCAACAACGUGAAAUUUAUGUUACGAGUCGUCGAGUUAAUAUUGGUUUUAAGUAUCAUGUAAUAACGUGUCGAAAUUAAAUGCAUCGAUAAAAGAAAAUAAUAUAAUAAAAGUUUUCACACGCUGCAAAUCUCAUGCCGCUAUUUAAUAGCGAUAUAAAUCUUUCGACGAGAAUUCCCACUGUUACGAUACAUUUGUUAUAACAGAAAUUGGAAAGAUGGAUUAAAACGAAAAAAUUUUUUUCCACUCGUUAUUCCGACUUUUAAUCCCGAAACGCGCAUAAACGUAAUAAUAAGGAUUAAGGUUUGACACCAUCUUUCUGCAAAUGAACGAAAUAUGUACGUACAUGUUGGAAUAUUCUCAUUUUUCGUUCACUGCAUCAGAAAUCGCAUAUCUUAGCUUUUCGUGUGCGGUCCACGUGGUUAGCGCAACGAAAGUCAUUAUCAUAAUUUUUUUUUUUUAAGAAACUGUUAUUAGUUAUUCGUCUGAAUUAACUAGUGUGGGUUAUUACCGUUUGUAUUACGAGUAAGAAAUUACUCGUUGAAAAUGAAUUAAGACAUAUAUCAAAACUAAGGCACGAAAUAAAUAUUCUUGGUUUCGUGCGAGAAGAGAAAUUUGAUAUAAAUUUUCCGUUCGAAAGAUAAAAUUGGAUAUCUUAUUAGAAAAUUUCAGAAAUUUCUUCCUCUUGUUCAUUCACGGUUAAAGAAUUAAGACACGAGCCCGAGUUAAUAUUAAUUAACAAUUUAGAAAACGUUUCACAGACUCGUUAAAACAGCACAAUUCACUUUAGGCGUAGAUAUGCAAAAUUAAGCAUCGCCUGAAGCAUAACUUGCGAAUGUAAAUUUGAGUUGAGCAGAAGUAACAAUGAGCUGUAGUUGUAAUGAGAAAAUUCAUUUGCAGAUCGUCUCAAUUUGUCGCCUCGAGUUGAAUGAAAGAUGUCUACGGUGUUACUAAGCCCAUUAUCCCUGAUAAAAAUCAGCGUCUUUUGUUUUUCUUUUUACAUAAGAAGUUUUACGUGUGAAAUUAAAAAGUGUAACUGUCCUAAAUAUGUAAGAGUUAGUUACGUUAUUAUUGCGGAUGUUAUUUCCUAUUGGAUAGAAUUCAUAUUUUUCACACCUUCUUGAGUUUAAACAAAAAAAAAAAAAAAAAAUACCGAGAAAGAUUGCAUCUUUUGCACGUGAUAAUUACGUGUUAAAUUAUGUUUAAUAUAUUGAAACGAAUAUAUACAUAUAUAGAUAUAAAACAGAGAAUAAUAUUUCAAUAUGAGGAAGAUUUCAGGAACAAGGAAUAUUUGAAAAGUGGAAAAAUUUUUGAAAAUAAAUCUAAUAUCUCAAGAGUAAGGAAUAUUUCAACGAAGAUCAUUUCAGGAAUAAAAGAAACUUUUUCGAUGGGAAUUAAAAGAAAAAAAAGAAUUUCUUUUAGAAAUGAGAAAUAUUUUAAAACAAGAUUCGAUCUUGUAUCAAUUUCAUGAAUAUGCAAAUGGUUAAUUGAAUUCCAUUCUUGGAAUUGUCCCAACUCCCGAAUUCCGGUUUACGUGACAUAAGUCACAGAUUUCGGCCGAGAAAAAGAAUACUCCCCGAUGCCUGAAGAAAUUUUAUUUCGUCGCCAAUUAAAGAUCGCUUUCUUUUUCAACGAAUCCCAGAUUAACAUUGGGAGGACGGUAGUUCGGUUAAUCUCUCGAACACGUGUUUCUUUUCUUUCUUUCUUUCUUUUUUUUCUUUUUUGCGUAUUUUCCGAAACACCUUUCACCGAAAAUUGGUCGUAUUGGUCGUAUAGAUUGGUCAUAUAGAUUGAAUUGGCAGAAGAAUUUUUUAAUUAAUAUGGAAGAGGAUAAAUUCGCGUUUGAAAUAUUCGAGAGAUUAAAGAAAAAUACACCUUCGUAUGUAUGAAACAUUUUCUUUCUUUCGUGUACCAGUGAAAGAAAGAAUGCGUUUGAUUUGACAUUUAAUUAUGAAGAAAAAUGUUCGUCGAUGCGUAUUAUUCAUGUAUUUUGCGUUAUAAAAACGUUUAACGAGUGAAAACACGAUUUUGCUAUUUAUUACAUUAUUUAUUUAACGUCUAAUUUAUUGCGUCUAAUUUCUAGUUUGCAUAUAAGGAAAUAUUUUAAUUACGAAGAAAAUAAAAUAUCCUUCAUUCACUUUCUUUUGUUUUCAAUUUGAAUAUAGCAAUACCGCAUAUAAUUACAUUCCAUACUGUCUAUCACAAAAAAUAUAUUAUAGCUAUUAUUACAAUACUUUCUUUCAUUUUCAAAUUGAAGAAUAAAUUUCACCACUGUACAAUUAUAUUCCUUCAUCGUGUACAAGAAUGUAUUUGUAAUAUGGUAAAACGAAAUCGUGUAAAAGUAAGAUCGGUUGAUUACAUCGGAUCUUUUAUCUAUAAAUUUUACAAGAAACACGGAGAAAAGAAAAACGGAAUCGACGAAUAUCUGUAUGUCCCUCUCCUAACUUAUUCCACGCAAGGAGCGAGCUCCGCGUUUAUCUACGUGUUACUUAUAGAAUAGUCAUGAACCCCGUAAUUGCAUCAAUUACCCAGGCUUGCUUACCGGUUACCGGUUUAACCGUGGCAAGAAACCGAUCGAUCGAUUUAUGUAUUCUAUAUAUGAACCGAAUCGAGUUUUUAAUCAUUGCGGUCGAUUCGCAAAAUGUUGUUUAUUUAAUUCGUGUAAUAAUUUGUUUCCUAUCUAUCGAAUGCCCGCCCUGCGUAGAAUUUCGAUCGAUCGUAAAGAAAUCUUUAAUAGAAGGAAAAAUGGAAUUUACGAUCGAAAUAUUCUGCGAUGAUUUGGACCGGCAACGAACAAACGUUUCGUUGAAACGGCACGAUCGGCACAAAAGGAGCAUCGAUCAUCGAGUCAAAUUGUUGAUCAUUGUGCAUUGUUACCCCGCGAGAAUUUUCUGAACCCGUUUUUCUUUUACCCGAUUCGUGCACGCGCGUACGCGCCGGUUUGAUGUUUGUAACGAGAGCGGUAAUAUUUCAUCGCGUCAGAGGAAAAUAUAUUCAAUGGGGAAUUCAAAGUAACGCUGUAGUUGGAAAGGGAAUAGUUUUAUCCGGAAUAUUAUAGAAAGACGCGUUAUUGCGUUUCGCGAAGGCGUUCUGACAAUGUAUCUAAAACUAGGGAAGAAAUUUAAUUUAAGUGAGGGAAAGAGUUCUCUCACUUUUAUUCGAAGAAAAGUUUUCACGAUGCUUUGUGGUUAUAUAAUCUCAGAUAUCGUUAAUUGCGUUAUAAAAGAAAUAUAAAUCGAUGUAAUUUGCGAAGACGACACUUUACCGAUAAAUAAAACAAAGUAAGGCAGUAAAUGUCUUUCUUACAUUUAUCUUGGAAGAAAACUUGAUUCUUUCAUUUCUCUUUACCAAUUAUCGUCGUCAAAAAUAGAAAAAAGAUAAUAUCCAUUUAUAUUUUUCUUUUACUUUUACAAUUAUUUAAAAUAUAGCAAAAUCGAUUGCUCCGUUUCUACUAUGUAUAAAAAAAAAGAAAAAAAAAGAAAGAAGGAAAAAACUAGAGUAUCCAAGAAAGUUUUAUCUCAACCAACUCAAUCUAAACCUGUCUUUAAGAAACAAAAAUGCAUUCCUCCACUCUUCCCAAUUAAACUUCUUUUCCCUCUCUCGAAGGAUUAAACGCGCCGAUCCAUCGCAGCGAUGCAAAACGGCUAUCAGGUUAUCUCGAUCGUUGUUUCUGUUUCGUAGAACGGUCCGAUGGCCAGGUAUCUCGAGCGUGCAACCUCCUCCACCCGUGAGAACAAAGGACAUCCGUAUUCGUGGAAUUCUUCUCUGCUCUGCGGUGGGACGCAUUCUCGACACGAACGAAGAUACUUACGCAGCCGUGUAUACACGGUCAAUGGCAACGCCUUUUCCUUUCUUCUCGACCCGCCACCGUUUCAUCCGUCUUCCGGUUUGGAAAAUUGCUCGACCAAGGACCAGUUUUUGGACCACGAUACUUUUACCGAUUUCUUGCACGCAUUGCAUAACACCGCGGUGGCAGGCAACAAAGGGCUCUUGUCGCUCUCCAAGCGAUCCCAUCCUCUCCGCAUAAUAUAAUACUAUAAACGUGGCCGAGUAAGGGACACUGUCACGCGGACUGGCCGGCAAGCGUUUCGUCACAGUCCGCGUGUGCGAUAAAUCGUUCCCGUUACGACAAGGACACACAAUGGGCAACGUGUUACACACGGUCUGCGUGCCACCAGCGAAGAUAAAUUAAAGAUCGAGGCAAAAAGAGAGGAGGCAACGCAACCGAGCCAAGGUGGUUGCCUUCCGAUCGAAAGGCACUCACUUCACCGUGAGACGACCCACCGGCAGACGACGACGUUCGCUUUUUAAUUAUAAUUCAUCAACACUUGCUAUUUCGCGUGUGCGCGAUCGAUUUUUAUUCUCCGUUAUACGUUGAAAGGAAGGAAUGGUUGCUGGGAUCGACGUGUGUGGCACCUUAAUCGUAUCGCCGCCAUUUGUAUUUCAGACGCUGAAAAAACGAGCUGUCAUCUUCCUUGGUUAUGAAUGAAUCGAACGCCAUUAUUCGUCCGCAAGGAAUCUGUAUUACAAGAUCGAAGGCAACGGAUAGAUCGUAUUAUUGUGGCUGAAAGAGAGCCUCUAUUGUGAUCUAAGGUCACACGGUUCACGAUCUGUAAAUUUGUCAUGAUUAAGGCACGACUAGAUUUCGUCGUAUUAAACGUGAUGCUGCAGGAGGAUCGAAUGAUCUUUAUAGAUAUCCGCCUAACAGAUUCUCCGGUAAAGAUCUAAAAUUAUAGUAAUUAUAUUUCGAUUCUCAUAUUUCAUUUAUAAUGUAAAUAUAUCUUUUUCGCGUGAAUUGAAAGUUAAAAGAGAGAAGGGAAAUUAAUAAUUUUAGAAGAUUCGUGCGAUAUUUCGACAAUUAGAAAUAUUUAAAUUCGAAUAAGUUAUAUCUUUUCAAAAUUUGAUGGAAUUUUUUACGCCAAAACGAUAAAAAUCCAAAAAAUCCUGAUUAUCGAAGUCAUCGUGCCAUAUUUCUUCAUACAACGUAUCAUGAAAGACAAUACGCCCUCGCAUUGAGUCAGCAGAGAAAAUAGCGAGGAAAGUAUUUUUCACGUGUGUACACGCAACAGAGCAUCACUUUUAAUCGUAGAAGAGGUAACUUAGUCACGUAUAAGCUUGAAACUCGAGCAUCGAAAGCAAAACGUUUUCUGAUUUCUGAUUAAUCGAUAACGAUAAAUUUAUAUCCAUUUCUACCAUUAACAAUUUAUACAGUGUUUCCAUUCCAUCGAGUAUAAUUGGAACUGUUAAUUCAGGAAAUCGCAAUUAACGCUGAAUCACGCCUGACAAUAGAAGCUACUACUAUUGGCCAUCGUCAUCCAAUAUUCAUUUCUAAUUAAUUAAAAAUCAUUUAUACAUAACAUUGGUACGACAAAAGUAAAAUGACAAAUUUCGUAUGUAUUUUCUUUUCUUUUAUUAUUUUGAGAAUUGUGAAAAUGGUUUUGGCAAGAUUAAUGUUACAUCUUGUUGAGAUUGAAAUAUAUAUACCUACUUGUUUUCAUAAUGAA